AACGAACGCUGGCGGCAUGCCUAACACAUGCAAGUCGAACGGGAUCCUAGCUUGCUAGGUGAGAGUGGCGGACGGGUGAGUAACACGUGGGAAUCUGCCUUUUGGUUCGGGAUAACCGCGGGAAACUGCGGCUAAUACCGAAUGCCCUCGAGAGAGGAAAGAUUUAUCGCCAGAAGAGGAGCCCGCGUCCGAUUAGCUAGUUGGCGGUGUAAUGGACCACCAAGGCUACGAUCCAUAGCUGGUCUGAGAGGACGACCAGCCACACUGGGACUGAGACACGGCCCAGACUCCUACGGGAGGCAGCAGUGGGGAAUCUUCCGCAAUGGGCGAAAAGCCUGACGGAGCGACACCGCGUGAAGGAUGAAGCCUUUAUUGGUGUAAACUUCUUUCUGUGGAAGAUGAUGACGGUACCACAGGAAUAAGGGCGGCAAACUAUGUGCCAGCAGCCGCGGUAAU
RNAcentral lists this ribosomal RNA (456 nucleotides) under uncultured bacterium. RNAcentral's name for it is "bacterial SSU rRNA". It matches the Rfam family "Bacterial small subunit ribosomal RNA", at positions 29 to 524 of the family's 1533-position model. The record is from RNAcentral.